Molecule: long non-coding RNA, 237 nt
Organism: Dermochelys coriacea (leatherback sea turtle)
Lineage: Eukaryota; Metazoa; Chordata; Testudines; Dermochelyidae
Exons: 3
Source: RefSeq, a predicted model, not a curated record
CUUUUUGGUACAAUCAGGACUCCUCAGACAGGUCCUUCUGGGGGGCAGGGAGCUUAGACCCCAGACUUGGGGUACCCUCCAUUUCCCCAGUCCACUCCCAACUCAAAACCCCCUCCAGCCAACUCACCCAACCUCCCCCUGGCUCCUCCUCCAGCCUUUGUCCAGCUUCCCGGGCAAAAGGUUUCAGAGUAGCAGCCGUGUUAGUCUGUAUUCGCAAAAAGAAAAGGAGGACUUGUG